Molecule: RNA transcript, 754 nt
Organism: Odobenus rosmarus divergens (Pacific walrus)
Lineage: Eukaryota; Metazoa; Chordata; Mammalia; Carnivora; Odobenidae
Exons: 2
Source: RefSeq, a predicted model, not a curated record
GCCGUUCUGUCAGUGACAAUGACAUCCGGAAGUAUGAGAUGUUUGCUCAGACCCUUCAGCAGAGUCGGGGCUUUGGCAGCUUCAGAUUCCCUUCAGGAAACCAAGGUGGAGCUGGCCCCAGUCAGGGCAGUGGAGGCGGCACAGGUGGCAGUGUGUACACGGAAGACAAUGAUGAUGACCUGUAUGGCUAAGUGGUGGUGGCCAGCAUGCAGCGAGCUGGCCUGGCUGGACCUUGUUCCCUGAGGGUGGGGGCGCUUACCCAGGAGGGACCAGGGGUGUGCCCAUGGCCUGCUCCAUUCCUCAGUCUGAACAGUUCAGCUACAGUCAGACUCUGGACAGGGGGUUUCUGUUGCAAAAAAAUACAAAACAAAAGAGAUAAAAUAAAAGCGAUUUUCAUUUGGGAGGCGGAGAGUGAAUUACCAACAGGGAAUUGGGCCUUGGGCCUACGCCAUUUCUGUUGUAGUUUGGGGCAGUGCAGGAGACCUGUGUGGUUGUGAACCAAGGCACCACCGCCACUCCCCACAGUAAAGCAUCUGCACUUCACUCAGUGCUACCCAAGCCUUCCCUUCUUCCCUCUACCCAACCUGGGCAGGAGGAUGAAGGGCCACAGUUGCUGGGUGUUUAUAUAGAGAGUAGGUUGAUUUUAUUUUACAUGCUUUUGAGUUAAUGUUGGAAAACUAAUCACAAGCAGUUUCUAAACCAAAAAUGACAUGUUGUAAAAGGACAAUAAACGUUGGGUCAAAAUGGAGCGUGA